RNAcentral lists this non-coding RNA (111 nucleotides) under uncultured Ruminococcus sp. RNAcentral describes it as "THF riboswitch". It matches the Rfam family "THF (Tetrahydrofolate) riboswitch aptamer". From Rfam's summary of the family: THF riboswitch presents a pseudoknot that joins P1-P2 and the loop of P3 and two THF binding. Lineage: Bacteria; Bacillati; Bacillota; Clostridia; Eubacteriales; Oscillospiraceae. The record is from RNAcentral.
AGAGUAAAAACGUGUUCGUUAUACCUUAUGAGGUAUUGCAGUGUUGACCGGACGGGGAGUUGUCGGUCAAACGAAAAGCGAAAGCUUGCGGUUCACGUUUUGCAUCCCGCU